CAGAGUAUAGCUUAACCUAAAGCAUUUCGCUUACACCGAAGUUAUAUUUGUGAAAAUCAAACUACCCUGA
This 70-nucleotide transfer RNA is filed under the name Allobates undulatus. RNAcentral's name for it is "tRNA-Val". It matches the Rfam family "tRNA". Rfam says of the family: Transfer RNA (tRNA) molecules are approximately 80 nucleotides in length. Their secondary structure includes four short double-helical elements and three loops (D, anti-codon, and T loops). Further hydrogen bonds mediate the characteristic L-shaped molecular structure. tRNAs have two regions of fundamental functional importance: the anti-codon, which is responsible for specific mRNA codon recognition, and the 3' end, to which the tRNAs corresponding amino acid is attached (by aminoacyl-tRNA synthetases). tRNAs cope with the degeneracy of the genetic code in two manners: having more than one tRNA (with a specific anti-codon) for a particular amino acid; and 'wobble' base-pairing, i.e. permitting non-standard base-pairing at the 3rd anti-codon position. The record is from RNAcentral. Lineage: Eukaryota; Metazoa; Chordata; Amphibia; Anura; Aromobatidae.